This 492-nucleotide ribosomal RNA is filed under the name uncultured bacterium. Its description in RNAcentral is "partial 16S ribosomal RNA". It matches the Rfam family "Bacterial small subunit ribosomal RNA", at positions 29 to 507 of the family's 1533-position model. The record is from RNAcentral.
AGUGAACGCUGGCGGUAGGCCUAACACAUGCAAGUCGAACGGCAGCACAGUAAGAGCUUGCUCUUACGGGUGGCGAGUGGCGGACGGGUGAGGAAUACAUCGGAAUCUACUUUUUCGUGGGGGAUAACGUAGGGAAACUUACGCUAAUACCGCAUACGACCUACGGGUGAAAGCAGGGGAUCUUCGGACUUUGCGCGAUUGAAUGAGCCGAUGUCGGAUUAGCUAGUUGGCGGGGUAAGGGCCCACCAAGGCGACGAUCCGUAGCUGGUCUGAGAGGAUGAUCAGCCACACUGGAACUGAGACACGGUCCAGACUCCUACGGGAGGCAGCAGUGGGGAAUAUUGGACAAAGGGCGCAAGCCUGAUCCAGCCAUACCGCGUGAGUGAAGAAGGCCUUCGGGUUGUAAAGCCCUUUUGUUGGGAAAGAAAAGCAGCAGGUUAAUACCCCGCUGUUCUGACGGUACCCAAAGAAUAAGCACCGGCUAACUUCGUG